Molecule: ribosomal RNA, 492 nt
Filed under: uncultured bacterium
Lineage: Bacteria
Description: partial 16S ribosomal RNA
Rfam family: Bacterial small subunit ribosomal RNA
Source: RNAcentral
AUUGAACGCUGGCGGCAUGCUUUACACAUGCAAGUCGAACGGUAACAGGCCUUCGGGUGCUGACGAGUGGCGAACGGGUGAGUAAUGCAUCGGAACGUGCCCAGAGGUUGGGGAUAACGCAGCGAAAGCUGUUCUAAUACCGCAUGUGAUCUGAGGAUGAAAGCGGGGGACCAAGCAGCAAUGUUUGGCCUCGCGCCUCUGGAGCGGCCGAUGUCAGAUUAGGUAGUUGGUGGGGUAAAGGCCUACCAAGCCGACGAUCUGUAGCUGGUCUGAGAGGACGACCAGCCACACUGGGACUGAGACACGGCCCAGACUCCUACGGGAGGCAGCAGUGGGGAAUUUUGGACAAUGGGCGCAAGCCUGAUCCAGCAAUGCCGCGUGCGGGAAGAAGGCCUUCGGGUUGUAAACCGCUUUUGUACGGAACGAAAAGGCUCUGGCUAAUACCUGGGGCUGAUGACGGUACCGUAAGAAUAAGCACCGGCUAACUACGUG